GAAAAUUUCUCAAUAAUUAUCCCUAUCCACAAGCGCCAAUCCACAAUCUGGAUUGAAGCGCCAAUCCACACAGAACGAAAGAGCCUUGUCUUCCUCUUCUCUUCGUUGUUCUAGGGUCCUGCCCAAUUUGGAGUUUUCCGUCCCAAUCCACAAGCACCAUUCAAAUUUAAUUGUAAAAAAUAGGUUUUUUGAAGCGCACAUUAGGGUAUUAUGGUAGCAAGGGCAAUGGUGUUUCGAGUUAGAAUAGUGGUCCUCUCGACGAGAUGAUAUUAGGGUUGUUCUUGAACAAAGACGACGGAGCUUGGGAAUGAGUAACUUGAAUUAUUCGUUAAUAUAUUUCAAUGUAUCUUGUUGUAUUUCCAUGUAUCUUAUUGUAUUCAUUGUCCUUUUUUUAUUGUAUUUCAAUGUUUC
This 411-nucleotide long non-coding RNA is filed under the name Nicotiana benthamiana. Its description in RNAcentral is "long non-coding RNA (NBEN_LNC026420)". Lineage: Eukaryota; Viridiplantae; Streptophyta; Magnoliopsida; Solanales; Solanaceae. The record is from RNAcentral.